ACCUCACUCUUCCACUGUUCUCCCCUACCUUAGCCGCUCACAAGACUUUAGCAGCUCUUCCAGGCCGGCUCCUCUUCCUUCUCUUGGUGCGUGCUCAUAUCAUGGCCAAGAUUUGCUCAUGCCUCUUUCCACUUCAAGCAUGCAUAUGCGUCGUCUCUGCUGGCAGCCCGGCCGUUCUGACGCUAGCUGAUCGAUCUACUCCAUCACCGAGCUGGCUCUUCUAUGGAUUAUUCGUCCUCGUCCACCGUGGGACGCCAUGAUAGCAAUAUUAAGCUAGCAGGUUUGGUCGAUCGAUCGGCUCGUGUCGUGUGUGCCUGGCUCCCUGUAUGCCACACAUGUAGCCAACCCGUGGCGUGAUUGGAUGCUGUGGGUGGCGUGCAAGGAGCCAAGCAUGCAUAACAGGCCAUGAUCACUUCCUCUCUAUCCUCUGAUCUGUUGAAUAUAUCUGUAUCGUGUUUUUUUUCCCGAGAUGAUGAUGCACUUAUUUCAUGCUGUUACAUGCAUCUGUAUGCUUGUCUUGGGUUCGAAUUGCUUCUGCAGGGUUAGAAUUUAGGACUGGUUUGGAGAAGGCAGGUGAGUUCCAAUCCUCUUUCAAAGCUCCAUCAAUCGACAUCACGAAAUUGAGAGAGAGUUUACAGUUCGCCCAUUUUUUAUCCUAAAAACACAUCUACUUUUCUUUUGCUUACAUGAGAGCCUAGCCGCCUCUUGCCGCUGAAUCUGUGUUGAUUUGUUUGGUUU
Molecule: precursor RNA, 738 nt
Filed under: Zea mays
Lineage: Eukaryota; Viridiplantae; Streptophyta; Magnoliopsida; Poales; Poaceae
Description: precursor miRNA zma-miR160b
Rfam family: mir-160 microRNA precursor family (bases 309-395)
Source: RNAcentral